GAAUUCGCCCUUGGGGAAUUUUCCGCAAUGGGCGAAAGCCUGACGGAGCAACGCCGCGUGGGGGAGGAAGGUCUUUGGAUUGUAAACCUCUUUUCUCAAGGAAGAAGUUCUGACGGUACUUGAGGAAUCAGCCUCGGCUAACUCCGUGCCAGCAGCCGCGGUAAUACGGGGGAGGCAAGCGUUAUCCGGAAUUAUUGGGCGUAAAGCGUCCGCAGGUGGUCAGCCAAGUCUGCCGUCAAAUCAGGUUGCUUAACGACCUAAAGGCGGUGGAAACUGGCAGACUAGAGAGCAGUAGGGGUAGCAGGAAUUCCCAGUGUAGCGGUGAAAUGCGUAGAGAUUGGGAAGAACAUCGGUGGCGAAAGCGUGCUACUGGGCUGUAUCUGACACUCAGGGACGAAAGCUAGGGGAGCGAAAGGGAUUAGAUACCCCUGUAGUCCUAGCCGUAAACGAUGGAUACUAGGCGUGGCUUGUAUCGACCCGAGCCGUGCCGAAGCUAACGCGUUAAGUAUCCCGCCUGGGGAGUACGCACGCAAGUGUGAAACUCAAAGGAAUUGACGGGGGCCCGCACAAGCGGUGGAGUAUGUGGUUUAAUUCGAUGCAACGCGAAGAACCUUACCAAGACUUGACAUGUCACGAAUCCUAUUGAAAGAUGGGAGUGCCUUCGGGAGCGUGAA
RNAcentral lists this ribosomal RNA (674 nucleotides) under uncultured cyanobacterium. Its description in RNAcentral is "bacterial SSU rRNA". It matches the Rfam family "Bacterial small subunit ribosomal RNA", at positions 344 to 1032 of the family's 1533-position model. The record is from RNAcentral. Lineage: Bacteria; Bacillati; Cyanobacteriota.